This is an RNA transcript of Balaenoptera acutorostrata (minke whale), 2961 nucleotides long. It is a transcript of the gene named mitochondrial poly(A) polymerase, with no coding region annotated. The transcript has 15 exons. Lineage: Eukaryota; Metazoa; Chordata; Mammalia; Artiodactyla; Balaenopteridae. The record is from RefSeq and is a predicted model, not a curated record.
GCGCCCUUUCGUCCGUGUUCCUGCCGCUUUGAUAAUGGCGGCUCGUGGUUUGGGGCUGUUGACCAGUUUGCCCCUCCGUGCUCAGAGAAGUCAAGUCCAGCGUCCUCUCCGCAGGCUUCUCAGUUGCCCAGGAACGGUGGUCGCACCCCUCGGGAAGGAAGAGCAGUCCUCGGGGAGCGCGGAGACAGGCUCUGAAGACAGGACUCCAAAAAAGAGAUUCUCUGAGGUGCAGAAAGAGAGACGAGAACAGGCCCAGCGGACUGUGUUAAUCCACUGCCCAAAUAAAAUCAGCGAGAAGAAGUUUCUCAAGUACUUAUCCCAACAUGGACCUGUUAACAGCCACUUCUUCUAUGAAAGCUUUGGUCUUUAUGCUGUUGUAGAAUUUAGUCAGAAGGAAAGCGUAGCUUCACUGCAGAAUGUAACUCGUACUCCAAGCCUGGGCACAGAGGCUGCAAUUCCAUUCAGAUCACGUUACUUCAAUUUAAAGUUGAAGCCUCCAUUAAACCAGACUUCUGAGCAGUCAAGUAUUCAAUGCAGGAAUCAGUCUUCUUCAAGCAAGAAGCUUUUUGAAUUACUUUGUUGUGCAGAAAGUGUAGAUGAUCAGCUGAACACUCUCUUGAGGGAAUUCCAGCUAACAGAGGAGAACAGCAAGCUCCGGUAUCUCACCUGCUCUCUUAUUGAAGAUGUAGCAGCUGCGUAUUUUCCGGGCUGCACCGUCAGACCCUUUGGCUCUUCAGUGAACAGUUUUGGAAAAUUAGGAUGUGAUUUGGACAUGUUUUUGGAUCUAGAUGAAAUCGAAAACUUUAGUACUCACAAGGCCUCAGGAAAUUUUCUGAUGGAAUUUCAAGUGAAAAAUGUUCCUUCGGAAAGAAUUGCAACACAGAAGAUCCUGUCUGUGAUAGGAGAAUGCCUUGACCACUUUGGCCCGGGCUGUGUGGGAGUACAGAAAAUACUAAAUGCUCGGUGUCCCCUUGUCAGGUUCUCACACCAGGCCUCUGGAUUUCAGUGUGACUUGACUACUAACAAUAGGAUUGCCUUGAAGAGUUCUGAACUCCUUUAUAUAUAUGGUGCCCUGGACUCCCGAGUGAGAGCCUUGGUGUUCAGUAUCCGAUGCUGGGCUCGAGCACAUUCGUUAACGAGUAGUAUUCCUGGUGCUUGGAUUACAAAUUUCUCCCUUACCGUGAUGGUCAUCUUUUUUCUCCAGAGGAGAUCACCCCCUAUUCUUCCAACACUAGACUACCUAAAAACCCUUGCAGAUGCAGAAGAUAAGUGUAUAAUAGAAGGCCACAACUGUACAUUUGUUCGCGACUUCAAUAGAAUUAAACCUUCAGGAAACACAGAAACACUAGAAUUACUACUGAAAGAAUUUUUUGAAUAUUUUGGAAAUUUCGCAUUCAAUAAAAAUUCCAUUAAUAUUCGACAGGGAAGGGAACAAAACAAACCUGAAUCUUCUCCACUGCACAUUCAGAAUCCUUUUGAAACUUCUCUCAACAUUAGCAAAAAUCCCCUUCAGGAGCCGUCGUGGGAGGGGAACACGCAAAACGCUGCCGCGAGGAAGAAACCGUUUCUCCCGGAGAGGCUCAGGAGAGGCCGGAUGUUCGUCGAGUAGAAUGGGGUAGGCUCGAAGGCACUGUGCUUCCUGUAGACGGAAGGAGGGGCCGUAGGGAUGGCCGUUCUGGGCGCAGGAGGCAGUGUAAACGCGAGUCAGGAAGGCGCAGCGCCCUGGGAGUGCGGGCCCUCCGGCCGGCGGGGGUGGGGUUUUUGCUCUGAGGCUCAGAGAGUCGAGGUUGAGCGAGGUGGUGAAGGACAGCGAGUUACGGAGGCUGAGUUUAUUUUCAGCGGUGAAGCAUUGAAGGUUUUUGUGUACGAGAGCAAUAAAAGUUAGAGCAGUGCUUUAGAUGAUCAAUCUGUUGAUACCGAGUAGUUAUCAAGCGCUGCUCCUUUCUUCUUAGCAAAUUUGAGUACCUUAGGUUCCAUCAUUGAGUCAGAUAAAAUUUGGCUGUUAAAUUUUCCACACAGGUCCAGAAGCUGACUCUCAUAUACCUCACAAGAGUAUUUAACAAGGAGGCAAAGUUUAAGUGGCUUAAAGCCAUCAUCAGGAAAUAUCAUCAGGUCAUGCUCUAAGGAAUGGUGGCACUAGAAGAUGGAAGAAGUCCACAUCCCUGAAUCAUCUGGAAAGCUGCCUACCAAACUCACUGGACAGUUACAUGAAUGAGAAGUUACAGAAGUUCAAGUGGGAUUGUGACUGAGCUAGAAGAGGAGUUCACAAAAAUCUGAGAUAAAGAAAGGACAGAUGUCGCACCCAGAAAAGCUAACCUAGCCAGGGGGUAACCGUGCCCUCUUGGCUCCCGAAGUGUGAGGAUGCAGCCUCUUCGUUCUGGAAGACGGUGGAAGCCGUGGCGCUUUGUGGCAAGCUGAGAAACAUGACAGCCGAGGACACGGAAUUAAUGGAAGUCAUAAAGUUUUACCUCCACGACAUGUGCUCUUGAGAUCAUGAAGCUGUAGUCAACGACAAGCAGCGACUGACUGCAAGCAUGGGACGCAGAACCACUGUCUAACCACAAGGAGAGCAUGCAACAAACCCAAAUAGAAGAACAUUCCUUAAAAUACUGGACCUGUACCCCUCAAAACUGUCAAGAUCACCAGAAACAAGGAGAGUCCGAUGAGUCAAGAGGAAUCUAAGGAGACGGGAUUAAGUGUGACAUGGAGUCCUGGAUGAGAUCCUGGAACAGAAAGAGAGUGGGCGUUAGGUAAAAACUAAAGACAUCUGAAUAAAAUCUGGACUUCAGUUAGUGAUGUAACGAUACUGGUUCAUUCAGUGUGACAAAUGUUAAUAAUUCUGUAAACCGGGUAUGGGCACGUGGGGCUGUGGACUAUCUUUGCAACUUUUCUGGAAAUUCAAAAUUGUUCUAAAAUGAAAAGCUUAUUUAAAAAAUAAAAAGCAAGAAUACUGCUUAUCAA